Long non-coding RNA from Pan troglodytes (chimpanzee), 579 nucleotides. RefSeq lists it as uncharacterized. The record is from RefSeq and is a predicted model, not a curated record. Lineage: Eukaryota; Metazoa; Chordata; Mammalia; Primates; Hominidae. The transcript is spliced from 2 exons.
CGCCGAUCCGGCUGCGUCACGCCGGCCGAACGACACCCCGCUGAGUCGCCGCCGCAGGGAAAGUACCUUCGGCCCCAACGGGAAAAGCCAAUUUCCAGUAAUUCGCGCCCGACCACCGGAGAGAGACAGAGUCUUGCACUGUUGCCCAGGCUGGAGUACAGUGGCGCAUUCUUGGCUCACUGCAACCUCCACCUCCCGGGUUCAAGAGAUUCUCCUGCCUCAGCCUCCCGAGUAGCUGGGAUUACAGGCGCCUGCCACCACGCCCAGCUAAUUUUUUGUAUUUUUAGUAGAGACAGGGUUUCACCAUGUUGGCCAGGCUGGUCUCGAACUCCUGACCUCAUGAUUCACCCACCUCAGCCUCCCAGAGUGUUGGGAUUACAGGCGUGAGCCACCGCGCCCGGCCAAGAUGAACAUUUUUUAAAACCAAUUUUUCAGGUAUAAGAUUUCUAGCCAAAGGAAAAUUUUGUUGUAUUUAUUCUAACAUUUGCUGUAAUUUGGUAUUAUGUGGUAUUUCUUUUGUGCUUUAACCAAAAUCAUGCUAGAUUUAGAUGCCAAUAAAUGCACAAUUUGAAUUGAAAA